Long non-coding RNA from Brassica rapa (field mustard), 3682 nucleotides. RefSeq lists it as uncharacterized. Lineage: Eukaryota; Viridiplantae; Streptophyta; Magnoliopsida; Brassicales; Brassicaceae. The record is from RefSeq and is a predicted model, not a curated record.
AGGCCUUUUUUUAAUGCUUCUUUGGCAGCAUUUUGUCAUGCACAAAAGAAUUCCCAAAGCUACAUUUUUGAAGAUUACAGAAAAUCCAUGUUUCAAGUUCCGGAGAGAGCAAUUUAUCAAACAAUUAUGCAGAUUACGUAAGAAAGACUUACAAGGGAUCUUCAACAUGGUGCAAGUAAAUCUGGUAUGGCGUGGAUCUUCAUAAGACGGUUCAUGUGAUGCAGUUAGGCGUAUGUCUUCAUAAGACAUGUAGUAUUGUCGGUUGUCGAAUCGUCUAUGUAAUCUUUCUCAUAUCAUAAUUGUAAGAUCAUAAUAUAUCAGCGUUAAAAAAAAAGUGGGUUAAUUUCAAUUAAUUUGAUUCAAAAUUUAAUUAGUUCGGUUUGAGUUUUGGCAUGAUUUGGAUAUAUUUUUCACUAUAAAAUAAAAAAAAUGAAAUAAUCAAUUUCCAAACCAAACCGAAUCGAAAACAAAAUAGACCCGUUGGAAAAUGUACACAAAAGGUCCAAAACCAUUAUAGUUUAGCAUUGUUUCAUAGCCAAACAAUUCAUAUCACUAAUCUGUCGCUAUUUUCGAUUGUUUAAGGAUAUGUUAACUCUUAGUGGAUGGAUAUGUAAUCAAGGUAGGAUAAGACGCUAAAAGAAAGUGACAUGGAGAUUCGGAUAAGAGCGCAAUAAAAUGAUGAACUGAGAUUACAUUAUGCAUAGUAUCCUCCUCUAUGGUUAAGAAUAUAUACAGAUAUAUAUAUAUAUAUAUAUAUAUAUAUAUAUAUAUAAGAACAUGAAUUUUGUUGUUUAUAAUUUUAUCCACUAACGAGUUGAAAGUUUACAACGAUUGAAGCUUGCAUAGUGACUUGCACCAUAAGAUACAGUUCUCUUUUCUUAACUGUGUUGUCUUUUACGUGGUCCAUCGCGAAAUUCUUUGUCUCUCUCGAUUAAAUUUCUAAGUUGAGAUUCUAGGUCAUGGACCUACCAAUAACGAUACAGGAAUUGUUAUUUGGCACAUAUAAUCACACUUUGGAAUGGUGAUUUUACAUGUUUAUAUUAUUCACUAACAUUCAUCAUAUAGUUUUUCAUUUUUAUUUUACAAUUUCUGAAAGUGAUUUCAUUGAGUAAUUGAUGAGUGCUUAUUAAAACAAUAUUUUAGCAUUCAAUAUACCUUCAUAUUUUUUUUGUUUUUUUUGUAACUGGAUAUACCUUAAUAUUUGGUCAGACAAAAUUAGGAUCAUCAACCACAACUGAGUUCUGUGUCCCUGACUCGGUUUAUACUCAACUAACGUUCCAAACAAUGAUUUAUCAUGUGUGGAUAUAAUAGAAUGGGAGACGGCACCAUCGAGGAAACUACCUCCUUUUUUUCAUCUCCACAUAAUAGACAAAUUGGUAUGUGAUCAUAUCAUUGACCUUCGCUACAGAGAGGCUACCAACUCUCUUUUUUUUUGUUGCUAAAAGUUAAAUAUCAUAGAUAUGAAAAGAGAUUUACAGAAAGUAGAAUCUAGAGCAUGUUACACCAUGGCAAAAAAAGAAUAAAAAACAUAGUGAUAAUAGGUUGAUCAACGCAUCCACUUGGACGUGAGACUUAGGAAGGGCUUCCUCUCUCGUCUGCAGUGAUAGUAUUGCGCACCUCUUUGUCUAUAAGCCGGUGGAUAGAAUCUGGAGGCAAGACAAUGCGGUUGUGCAAGACAUUGUUUUUCUGUUUCUACUAGUGGUAAAUUACAGAUUGUGCAGCUAGCUUCCUCAAGACAUAGUGGCUACCGACACUUACAUCGGUGAUAUUGAAAGGAACUUCAUUAAUACUAUGUGCUUAACUAUCUCUCCUUGAUAAUGUAAAGAGAUAUUCUCUAUUUAUGCUUUAUAAUAUAAAACCUGAUAAGACUUGGAGGUUUUAUAUCAUACAACUUGAUAAUGUAAAGUGAUAUUCUCUAUUUUCCUAUACCUUUUAUAUUAUCUUAAAAACUUAUAUAACGUAGCUCAACUCUUCAACUAUAAAAUGUCUGAACCCUGUAACCUGUUGACAAUAAAAGAAAAGUAUGCAUCUUACAUAUGUAUGUUUAUGAAUGAAUAAUAAAUAUUUUCAGAACACAAACUUAUUAUUUCAAAUCACUCUAUCAACAUGUAUGUAUCAUAAUUAUAUCAUCUUUAAUACUGUUGAAUUGAUAUGUGGAGUGCAAGCAUGUACAGUGGUAUGAACUCUUUUCACAUAUAUAUUGAAUAUAGUUAAUUUUAAUAUUUCCAUCAUAAAGUAACUAUGUACUAAGUAAUAAUAGUUAUACUAUUAUCCAAUAUCUAUAUUUUACUAUUCAUUAUACAAUUGCAAUAGCGUGCCAUUCACGAACACAUGAAUUUGAGAUAAAAUUUGGAUUUCAUAUUAAAGUAAGAUAUUGUUAUUAGAAGUGGACAAAGGAAAAACAUGUUCGCAACCAUUCCCGUCUAAGUUCUUUCAAUAGAUGUACAUAAUACUGAUAACAUAUUUCUACAAAUCGCUGACCAAAUAUUUGUUACAAAGUACAAAUUCUAUAUGCUUUGACUGAUUAGAGUAUAUAUAUAUAUCGGAUUAACAUUUAAAAUUAACAUGAACAUAACAAAUCAUGCGAAACAAAUCUUGUUGUGUUGUGUCUGUAAUAAAGAGACAAAAUGCUCAGCGCAAACUUAGCCGAUUGUUUAGAUUAUAAUCCCACAAUCAUGGUCUAAUCUUGUUCUAAUCAUUCCCUUAUUCUUCUUUCUAAGAAAAAACGAUUAUGAAUUUAUUAAUUUUAUAGUGAUCAGAUCUGAUCUUUAGUUUUUAUUAUUUAUUUUUGCUUCAGUCUAUACUCUAUAGGUAAGUUUUCCUUGGGUAAGUGGACAUUAUGGGAGCGUUAUGUGUGUCAUUGUUGCUAUUGGUUGAAGUCGUACGGCGAAUUUACAUAAACGAAUCAACUUGAUGAAUAUUUUUUAGCUUUAUAAUUCAGUCCCAUUCAGGCAUUCACUUCCCAUGUGCCAUCCUGAGAGCAACUUUGCUAUAAUUAUUUAAUCAUAUAUAUAUAUAUAUAUAUAUUUAACAAAUGAUAUACUGGGUUCAACAUAUACUCUCCCCAAUACAUGUAAGGGAUCUAAUUUUUAAGACAACGAAGGUUUCAUGUUUCUCUAUUUUGGUAUUUUUUAAAAAUAUCAUAGUGUUGGUGUUUAUGGUUUUUGAUAUUUUGAUAUUUUUCUGGUGGUUUUUAAAAAAAUUAACCAAUAUAUAGUGUUAGUGUUUAAGACAACAGAGCAUUUCAUGUUUCUCUUAAUUGAAUUCAUACGUUUUUUAAUUAAGUUCAGACGUUUUAAAAAAAAAAUUAACCAAUUAUAUUGGCAAUUAAGAUAAUACCUUUAUUAUUUAUAGAGAUGCAGUUACAAAGAUGGAAUUUUGGUCACUAGUUUAGAAAACGAACACCGAAACAAUAGGAAAUUAUGUAAUUCAUCAUCAAUCAAUUAUGGUUUUUUUGGGAAAAAAGGAAGUGACUGGUGGUGGAUGUAGAUAUUUUAGACAUCCAAAAUUUAAUCAAAAAUCAUGUAUAUUAACCAAUCAAGUUUUGCUUUUCUUAAAAAUAUUUACAGAAAAAAACUUUUACAUCGAAAAAAUUUACAAAAUAAAUCUAUACGACUUAAAUUCUACAGCAAAAAAAACACAGAUCUACCAACCAUUCCAAUCACUUCCAUAAUUUAUUUUU